Molecule: ribosomal RNA, 468 nt
Filed under: uncultured bacterium
Lineage: Bacteria
Description: partial 16S ribosomal RNA
Rfam family: Bacterial small subunit ribosomal RNA
Source: RNAcentral
GACGAACGCUGGCGGCGUGCUUAACACAUGCAAGUCGAACGGAAAGGCCCGGCGUUUGUUGGGUGCUCGAUUGGCGAACGGGGGAGUAACACGUGAGUAACCUGCCCUUGACUGUGGGAUAACUUCAGGAAACUGGGGCGAAUACCGGAUAUGAUCUCCUGCUGCAUGGUGGGGGUUGGAAAGUUUCGGCGGUUGGGGAUGGACUCGCGGCUUAUCAGCUUGCUGGGGGGGUAGUGGCUUACCAAGGCUUUGACGGGUAGCCGGCCUGAGAGGGUGACCGGCCACCUUGGGACUGCGAGAGGCCCCAGAAUCCUACGGGAGGCAGCAGUGGGGAAUCUUGCGCAACGGGCCGACGUCUGAUACAGAAACCCCCCGUGCGGGAUGCCCGCCUUCGGGUUGUAAACAUAUUUCGCCUGUGCCGAAGAGUGCGUGACGGUACUGAGUCAAGAAGCACCGGCUAACUACGUG